Molecule: ribosomal RNA, 247 nt
Filed under: uncultured bacterium
Lineage: Bacteria
Description: partial 16S ribosomal RNA
Rfam family: Bacterial small subunit ribosomal RNA
Source: RNAcentral
UGAUGGCGACCGGCGCACGGGUGAGUAACACGUAUCCAACCUGCCGAUAACUCGGGGAUAGCCUUUCGAAAGAAAGAUUAAUACCCGAUGGUAUAAUAAAGCCGCAUGGUUUAAUUAUUAAAGAAUUUCGGUUAUCGAUGGGGAUGCGUUCCAUUAGGCAGUUGGUGAGGUAACGGCUCGCCAAGCCUUCGAUGGAUAGGGGUUCUGAGAGGAAGGUCCCCCACAUUGGAACUGAGACACGGUCCAA